Molecule: ribosomal RNA, 342 nt
Filed under: uncultured prokaryote
Description: bacterial SSU rRNA
Rfam family: Bacterial small subunit ribosomal RNA
Source: RNAcentral
AGAGUUUGAUCCUGGCUCAGAUUGAACGCUGGCGGCAUGCCUAACACAUGCAAGUCGAACGGUAACAGGUCUUCGGAUGCUGACGAGUGGCGGACGGGUGAGUAAUGCGUAGGAAUCUGUCUUUUAGUGGGGGACAACCCAGGGAAACUUGGGCUAAUACCGCAUGAGCCCUGAGGGGGGAAAGCGGGGGGAUCUUCGGACCUCGCGCUAAGAGAGGAGCCUACGUCCGAUUAGCUAGUUGGUGAGGUAAAGGCUUACCAAGGCGACGAUCGGUAGCUGGUCUGAGAGGAUGAUCAGCCACACUGGGACUGAGACACGGCCCAGACUCCUACGGGAGGCGAC